RNAcentral lists this unclassified non-coding RNA (432 nucleotides) under soil metagenome. RNAcentral describes it as "partial contains 5.8S ribosomal RNA, internal transcribed spacer 2, and large subunit ribosomal RNA". The stretch from base 1 to 120 matches the Rfam family "5.8S ribosomal RNA", at positions 35 to 154 of the family's 154-position model. The record is from RNAcentral.
GAUGAAGAACGCAGUGAAAUGCGAUACGUAAUGUGAAUUGCAGAAUUCAGUGAAUCAUCGAAUCUUUGAACGCAAAUUGCGCUCUCUGGUAUUCCGGAGAGCAUGCUUGUUUGAGUAUCAGUAAACACCUCAACUUCCAUAUCUUUUUUGAAAUGGGAGUUGGACUUGAGUGAUCCCAACGCUUUUCCUCACCGAAAAGUGGCGGGUUACUUGAAAUGCAGGUGCAGCUGGACUUUUCUCUGAGCUAUAAGCAUAUCUAUUUAGUCUGCCUAAAAAACAGAUUAUUACCUUUGCUGCAGCUAACAUAAAGGAGAUUAGUUCUUGUGCUGACUGAUGCAGGAUUCACAAAGACAGCUUCGGCCGACUUUGUAAACUCGAUCUCAAAUCAAGUAAGACUACCCGCUGAACUUAAGCAUAUCAAUAAGCGGAGGA